AGUAUCACACUCGAUCUACCUUCACCAUCAUGUUCACUAAGACCGUCGUCGCUCUCGCCCUUGUGGCCGUCACUCUGGCUGCUCCUUCACAGCCUUCCUACGGAUAUGCUCCUCCUGCAACCUAUGACGCUCCUGCAAGUACGACUUCAACUACGCCGUGAAGGACGACUACUCCGGCAACGACUUCGGUCACCAGGAGGCCCGUGAUGGCUAUGACACCCAGGGAGCCUACUACGUCUCCUUCCCGACGGUCGUCUGCAGAAGGUCGCCUACGACUGUCAACGGGACUCCGGUUACGUGGCUGAGCAGCUACGAGGGUG
Penaeus vannamei (Pacific white shrimp) is the source of this 320-nucleotide non-coding RNA. Lineage: Eukaryota; Metazoa; Arthropoda; Malacostraca; Decapoda; Penaeidae. The record is from RefSeq and is a predicted model, not a curated record.